Molecule: transfer RNA, 72 nt
Filed under: Paenibacillus pini JCM 16418
Lineage: Bacteria; Bacillati; Bacillota; Bacilli; Caryophanales; Paenibacillaceae
Rfam family: tRNA
About the family: Transfer RNA (tRNA) molecules are approximately 80 nucleotides in length.
Source: Rfam by way of RNAcentral
GGAGCUUAGCUCAGCUGGGAGAGCAUCUGCCUUACAAGCAGAGGGUCGGGGGUUCGAUCCCCUCAGCCUCCA